GGUAGUCCACACCGUAAACGUUGGGCGCUAGGUGUGGGGCCUAUUCCAUGGGUUCCGUGCCGCAGCUAACGCAUUAAGCGCCCCGCCUGGGGAGUACGGCCGCAAGGCUAAAACUCAAAGGAAUUGACGGGGCCCGCACAAGCGGCGGAGCAUGCGGAUUAAUUCGAUGCAACGCGAAGAACCUUACCUGGGUUUGACAUACGCCGGAAAGCCUCAGAGAUGAGGCCCCUUUAUUGUCGGUGUACAGGUGGUGCAUGGCUGUCGUCAGCUCGUGUCGUGAGAUGUUGGGUUAAG
Molecule: ribosomal RNA, 294 nt
Filed under: uncultured bacterium
Lineage: Bacteria
Description: partial 16S ribosomal RNA
Rfam family: Bacterial small subunit ribosomal RNA
Source: RNAcentral